This 253-nucleotide ribosomal RNA is filed under the name uncultured bacterium. Its description in RNAcentral is "partial 16S ribosomal RNA". It matches the Rfam family "Bacterial small subunit ribosomal RNA", at positions 524 to 776 of the family's 1533-position model. The record is from RNAcentral.
UACGGGGGGGGCAAGCGUUGUUCGGAAUUACUGGGCGUAAAGGGCUCGUAGGCGGCCAACUAAGUCGGACGUGAAAUCCCCAGGCUCAACCUGGGAACUGCGUCCGAUAUUGGAUGGCUUGAAUUCGGGAGAGGGAUGCAGAAUUCCAGGUGUAGCGGUGAAAUGCGUAGAUAUCUGGAGGAAUACCGGUGGCGAAGGCGGCAUCCUGGACCGACAUUGACGCUGAUGAGCGAAAGCUAGGGGAGCAAACGGG